GACGGAGGAUGCAAGCGUUAUCCGGAAUGAUUGGGCGUAAAGCGUCUGUAGGUGGUUUAGCAAGUUUUCUGUCAAAGAUCAGGCUCAACCCUGGGCCGGCAGAGAAAACUACUAGGCUAGAGUUCGGUAGGGGCAGAGGGAAUUCCUGGUGGAGCGGUGAAAUGCGUAGAGAUCAGGAGGAACACCGAAGGCGAAAGCACGUCUGCUGGGCCGAACACUGACACUGAGAGACGAAAGCGAGGGGAGCAAAUGGG
Molecule: ribosomal RNA, 254 nt
Filed under: uncultured bacterium
Lineage: Bacteria
Description: partial 16S ribosomal RNA
Rfam family: Bacterial small subunit ribosomal RNA
Source: RNAcentral